This 301-nucleotide ribosomal RNA is filed under the name uncultured bacterium. RNAcentral's name for it is "partial 16S ribosomal RNA". It matches the Rfam family "Bacterial small subunit ribosomal RNA", at positions 509 to 807 of the family's 1533-position model. The record is from RNAcentral.
CAGCAGCCGCGGUAAUACAGAGGGUGCGAGCGUUAAUCGGAUUUACUGGGCGUAAAGCGUGCGUAGGCGGCUUCUUAAGUCGGAUGUGAAAUCCCUGAGCUUAACUUAGGAAUUGCAUUCGAUACUGGGAAGCUAGAGUAUGGGAGAGGAUGGUAGAAUUCCAGGUGUAGCGGUGAAAUGCGUAGAGAUCUGGAGGAAUACCGAUGGCGAAGGCAGCCAUCUGGCCUAACACUGACGCUGAGGUACGAAAGCAUGGGGAGCAAACAGGAUUAGAUACCCCCGUAGUCCCUGUCUCUUAUAC